UACAGAGGUGGCAAGCGUUGUUCGGAAUUACUGGGCGUAAAGGGCGCGUAGGCGGCCUGCUAAGUCGAACGUGAAAUCCCUGGGCUCAACCCAGGAACUGCGUCCGAUACUGGUUGGCUUGAAUCCGGGAGAGGGAUGUGGAAUUCCAGGUGUAGCGGUGAAAUGCGUAGAUAUCUGGAGGAACACCGGUGGCGAAGGCGACAUCCUGGACCGGCAUUGACGCUGAGGCGCGAAAGCCAGGGGAGCAAACGGG
This 253-nucleotide ribosomal RNA is filed under the name uncultured bacterium. Its description in RNAcentral is "partial 16S ribosomal RNA". It matches the Rfam family "Bacterial small subunit ribosomal RNA", at positions 524 to 776 of the family's 1533-position model. The record is from RNAcentral.